AUAUGGCCAUCUAUUUUAUUCAGGGAAGGAGAUUGUUUACUGGAUCGCUGCAAUUGUAAUAUACAGUACAUGCUCGACCACUUGAACGAUAAAGACAUCAGAGCAGUGAUAGAAAUUAGACAUAGAAACUUUGUUCUGAGACCCUCUCUCUCUCUCUCUCUCUCUCAUCUGACUUUAGAAAGCAUGUUGCCCCUGGCCCCUUCACCACCACUUUGCAACCACCUAUACUGCACUGGUAUCACCACCACCACUGCCAUCACCUAUACUGCAGUACUGCACCAUCAUCACCACCACCAUAUGACUAUCAAGCAUGAUGUACCUUGCCCUUUCACCACCACUGCUACCUCUUUGAAAACCAUCAACACUGGCAUACUGCACUUCCACCACCCCACCAAUACCGCACUGUCAUCACCACCACGGCACCACCUCCACUGCCCAUCACCACUACUAAGCUGCCUUUUCUCUCACACAUUUUACUUUUCUGCUUAAAAACAUCAAUUAACAACUGAAAUGAGCAUCAUAAGUUAUCAAUUAAUGAGUAAAUAACUAAUGAAAAAGUAAAUAACUUAAUUAAAAAGUUAAUGAUGCUCUGACCUAGCAUCAUUAAGUUAUGAAUACAUUGGAGGAUUUUUUAACUUGAGCAGUUGAGCACUGACCUACCGUGGAAAAGCUGCCUAUUGGAUGAUUCCCCGCCUGCUGACUGCAACUCUUAAAGGAAGGUUAUCCACCCAAUUCUCCCAACUGCAGAUUGGUCUGCAAAAGCAAACAUCAUCAAGAUUGAUCUUAAAUGUCACUGAAACAGGCCAUGUCAAAGAUAAAAAGGUCGUUCUACAUCGAAAAGAG
RNAcentral lists this long non-coding RNA (843 nucleotides) under Aquilegia coerulea. RNAcentral describes it as "long non-coding RNA (ACOE_LNC000894)". The record is from RNAcentral. Lineage: Eukaryota; Viridiplantae; Streptophyta; Magnoliopsida; Ranunculales; Ranunculaceae.